UUUGUUAUGUUCUAUAAUUUUAUAGCCUGUUGCAUUGGGUCAUUUGAGGAAUAUAUUUGGUUUGGGUAAAAAGGAAGCAGAAUCAAUUGCAAUAGAUGUUACCUCUAAAGUAUACCGUAAACGCCUUGCGGAAUCUGUAACUGGGGGUGCUUUGGAAGCUACAAAUAGUAAAGCACUUUGAUACUGAAAAAGCCAUUGAGAUCCAUGAACAAAUAUACCGUCAAAACCUUCAACAAUCUAUGAAGGAUGGAGAGCUUAGUGAUGCUGAGGUUAAAUCACUUGAGAGGUUGCAAGUUAUGCUUUGUAUCCCUAAACAAACGAUUGAAAAGAUCCACGAAGAAAUAUGUGGCACUUUAUUUGAAAAGGUUGUUAAGGAGGCUAUAGCUGCAGGGGUUGAUGGGUAUGAUGCUGAUGUGAAACAGGCUGUUAGAAAGGCUGCAUAUGGUUUACGAAUAACCAGGGAGGUGGCCAUGUCUAUUGCUGGCAAAGCAGUGAGUGUUUUUUACGGAUUUGCCCUUGUUUAUUUUUCUUUUUCAGUUUUCUAACAUAUUAUUUUUAAAUGGAGUUGGAGAAGGUGGGUGGGCACGGAUUUGCUUUAGUCCAAGUCAAUGGUCAAGGGUACAUGUUUAAUCAGUCAAAAUAUUUUCAUCGUCCAAUCUUUUACUUGUUUAUAUUACGAGCUACAUAGUAUAGUAAAAAACAUUAACUUUGUUACAUUUAAUGGUUGAAUAUUAAACUUGAUAAAUACUUUAUAUUUUAAUGGAACCCGGAACACCACAUGGAUCAAAUAUCAUAUCUCAAGUGUGGUCCCACAUUCUUUGGAUGGAGAAAAGGGUCACAAGAAUUUUCGGAGUAGGAGUUCAUUAGUUUUAAAGAAUUAUGAAAGGCAAGAUGCAACUCUACUUAGUUGGAAUUUGAUGUUUAUCAUCUUUUUGUAUAUCUUUUUAGUUUGUAUAACAUUACAUUGCAGAAGGUGUCUCUUAAUAGCAAUGUAGUAUUAGGUUAUAUAGUUAGGGAAAACCUAUUAAUAACAAUGUACAAUUAGAUCACCUUAAUAUC
Non-coding RNA from Lactuca sativa (garden lettuce), 1059 nucleotides. The record is from RefSeq and is a predicted model, not a curated record. NCBI's taxonomy places the organism in Eukaryota, Viridiplantae, Streptophyta, Magnoliopsida, Asterales, Asteraceae.